UACAGAGGGUGCGAGCGUUGUCCGGAAUCACUGGGCGUAAAGCGCGCGUAGGCGGACCUGCAAGUCGGGGGUGAAAGCCCGAGGCUCAACCUCGGAACUGCCUUCGAUACUGCGGGUCUCGAGUCCGGGAGAGGUGAGUGGAAUUCCUAGUGUAGAGGUGAAAUUCGUAGAUAUUAGGAAGAACACCAGUGGCGAAGGCGGCUCACUGGCCCGGUACUGACGCUGAGGCGCGAAAGCGUGGGGAGCAAACAGG
Molecule: ribosomal RNA, 253 nt
Filed under: uncultured bacterium
Lineage: Bacteria
Description: partial 16S ribosomal RNA
Rfam family: Bacterial small subunit ribosomal RNA
Source: RNAcentral